RNAcentral lists this ribosomal RNA (452 nucleotides) under uncultured bacterium. RNAcentral describes it as "bacterial SSU rRNA". It matches the Rfam family "Bacterial small subunit ribosomal RNA", at positions 329 to 792 of the family's 1533-position model. The record is from RNAcentral.
UCCCAGACUCCUACGGGAGGCAGCAGUAGGGAAUUUUCGGCAAUGGGGGGAACCCUGACCGAGCAACGCCGCGUGAACGAAGAAGUUAUUCGUAAUGUAAAGUUCUUUUAUCAGGGAAGAAAGAGGAAUUUGACGGUACCUGAGGAAUAAGCUCCGGCUAACUACGUGCCAGCAGCCGCGGUAAUACGGAGGAUGCGAGCGUUAUCCGGAUUUAUUGGGUUUAAAGGGUGCGUAGGCGGAAUGCCAAGUCAGGGGUAAAAUCGGGGGGCUCAACCUCGCUCCGCCGUUGAAACUGGCGUUCUUGAGUGGGCGAGAAGUAUGCGGAAUGCGUGGUGUAGCGGUGAAAUGCAUAGAUAUCACGCAGAACUCCGAUUGCGAAGGCAGCAUACCGGCGCCCAACUGACGCUGAAGCACGAAAGCGUGGGUAUCGAACAGGAUUAGAUACCCCCGUA